AUCGUCACUGAUUAGCCUGCGGGCCACGGCAGCCUGUUGUCGGUCAGCUGGAUAUGAGAAUGUUCACCACCGUGCAAACGGACCUAACCAACGGACCAUCCUGUGCGUUACAACUCUUCACCGCAACACCGCUCCUCUAGAGACGGACUAAUGUGACUGCAAGUUGAAUCCCCCGCCCUGUGAAUUUGGGAACAUUUCACAGAUCACACUGAAGAUGAAGUGCAACGUGUACCACAGCGGAACAUCUCCGUUUGCCGACAGAUGAGGGACGAGUCUUUCUUCUUGACAUGAUCGUCAAUGUAGGACACCCCGAGGGGCUGCACAGGCGUCGCUCCGAUCCCCAGCAGGACCUGAGCUCCGAUUAGCAGCAGGUACAUCAUGUUGGUGUUGGUCUUGUUGGCGCAAGCCGUGUCCUCUGCCAACUGGACCUCCCUGCUGCUGGCAUUGGAGCACACGUCCCGCCCCACAAGCAGAAUCGCAGCAGGUUGUUCUCGCAGCUGUUGUGACAACUACGCCGUCCCCUUCACGAAUCGUCACAGCAUGGCGAGCCCGACCGGUGGAAACGCUGAGCGCCGAGUGUCCUUGGGCCAAGAGAGGGUUGACGGAGAACUUCGGAACGAGCCGCGACGUCUCUUCCCCCGCGGCGGCUCUUUCUCGCGCCGGAUAAAGGCCGCAUUAACGCGCGGCCGGCUGCCUCGGCCUCGCCCGGGAUCCGACGGGGGUGGCGACGUCUCAUCCUGUUCUUGGAAACUUGUGCCAGGGCUGACUGCAACCUGUUGACACGACAGCUCUGGUGCAAGGCUGCGAGGAAGUAAUCAUCCUGUCCAAUCAGAUACCAUUCAGCGAAGGUUAGCCUCAGCACGAGACGUGAGCGAGAGCUGAACGACGCGCUGGGAACACGUGCUUCACGUGUUCAUGUUUUACAUGCUCGUGCACUUCCACUCUAACGUCGACCAGACAGCCUUCCAAGAGGUUUUGAACUCAACAUAAAUUACAUCAUGUAGGGGGAAGGAGCAGACUGCCUACUAGGGAGAAACCGCAGCUACAUCUCGUCAACCUCGCCGCUCGAAAUGCAGGGGGAAGUGUUUCACAAGUUGCGUGGCAACAAAAUAAACCUCACCCAGUCGUGGGACAUCCCAUUGCCUCACAGAGAAGAACGAGUCCUGUCAAAGGACAUUUUUUCCUGCCUCUUGGCUCAGACGAGUCUGCUGGGAGCUUUGAGACGAAAGAGGCUCGAAAUGUUAGUCGAGGAGGGAACAACAAACGCUAACUUCCUCGCGUAAUUCUCUUGAGGUAUCCAAUGUCACUUAAUUCUUCCAAAAACGAUCAUUUAUUACUUGCAAAUACAUCUUUCUUCAUCUAUCUGUGCCAGCGACGUAUCGUGACAGACAGAAUAAUUGAACGCGCUCCCGUCGGAGGGCAGAAGUUACAAUAAUUCAUACAAAACGAUGAGUCACGGCUUCCUGCGAGAAAAUGUACUUCCCCAGAUUUCACGGUGUUCAUUUUCAAAGUAAAUGGAGAGCUAAUGAUUUCAAUUUUCAUACUUGGGGGGUGGUCUGUAACCCAACCCCAGCGAUGGACAGGGGGGAUUACUAUAAAUAUAGUCCAGAUUUCCAUAUCCUUUCAACUGCCUGUCACUUCGGUUUUGUAAAAAUUAACCUGUUCAAAGGGCAUUCUGAAUUAUGUAUCAACUCUCGACGGCCGCAGUAGUGUUAAUGAUAAAUAUACCUGGGUGACAAAGCGGUAAUUAAUUCCGCUGAAUUAUUAAUUACCACUUGACUUAAUUUGGCAAUGACUCCCUAAAACGACAGACAUGAAUACGUUUUGAGUUUUUGGAUAUGGCUACGGUUCAAAUGCUGCUCAGGCGUUAGCGGUAUCAACCAUCACGAAGGCUAUACAGGCUAUACUCUUUAAAGGGAUUGCUUUGGUGAUCAAAAGCUAAGUGUUCCGGCUUAUUUGAGCCGUCUGGGUAAAAAAGCGACUUCGGUACCGCUAAUUGCAACAUAUGACGACAUUUUGCCACCUGGCGCGUUGAUUACAGCUCCGGGCUAAUUAUCAGCUCUCGCAAAAAAAAAGAAAAAAGAUCGCAAUGAUAGCGAGGUUUGUCGGUGCGCUGACAGCAAGCGCUUUUAGAUCCUAUCAUCCAAUUAGGGACUCUUAUAGAUGGCACUUGAUCAUCCAGAAAAUCUCAGCGUGCUGGCGGCAAACGUCAUAAGCCGGCGAGGGUCAGGUGCCGGCUGGUCCGGGUAAUUGUUCCUAUGACAUUUACGGCUGUGUUUGAACAGGUGUCCAAACCACUUGAAAAGCCUUCUGAAGGUUUACUGCGUUAUUGACUUGGCUUGUCGACGUUUAGAUUCAGUAUACUGAGAAUUUGGAGUACCCAAAGAGUACUGCUGUCCCUUGAAGUACACAGUACACGCUAUGAUGAAUUAGCGGACUGUUCAAUUUCCAGGAACAAUUACGUGCAAAAGUCAAGCAUUGCCUGUGAGAGAACCAUCGCAACAGAAAGCAAACUUCCUUAGCAGGGUCUUCAGUAACCCCAUUUGACUCUUAUUUAUAGUUUUGCACCAGUUACACAAAUGUAACAAAUUGGCCUCAUCUGGAACCAAUUCCAUUGACAGGCGUAUUACGCAAAUUGUUAAGGGGUACCAAAAUUAGAUCACCAAUACUGUCGUACCAUAGGGUUAGUCAAGGUACUCAUUUAACUGUCUUUUAGGAACUUCAUUUCCAAGUAAUUUCCUUCUGGAAAGUCUGUCUUGGGAUUGCAGUUUGGCUUUUCCAGAACAAACACACUGAUAUCAGUAUAGGUGCGUCCCAAACAGUAUAUUAUUUUAAAGUUUCCUCAAAAUGACCUUUUUUUUUGUGCGGCCAUACCUAUAUCCAACCAACCGGUCCACAAAAGACCCUCGCUUGUUACAUUUGUACCCACUCUGCCCUUUUCUCCAGUAACAAGUCAUUGUAUGUACUCAUAAAGUUUUUCAAGGUACCACAGCUUUCUCCUGCACGUGUUCUAACUGGAGACCGGACGCUCCACCGUAAGCACAAACAUUAACAUUCAAAUGUUUAUUUAUUUCAAGCGAGUUGAGGAAACAGCCCCCACCGAAAAAUCAACAUUGCUAACGCCGGCGCGACAAGUUCACCGCCCGAGGUCGUAAAGUGAGUCCUACGAGAGAGAAUCGAUGUUCAAGGUUGCCUCGACUUUUGUGCGUUUUAAUCAAAUUGGUAGAUGAGGAGCGAGGAGGAACACUGCACGGCGCAAGAGUUUAACCUUGAAAGGCAUUUCUGCAAGCAUCAAUAAAGCACUGGCAUCCUAAAAGACGAUUAAUCUCAAGAUGUAAACGCUUUAAGGUCAUUGAUUAGUUUGGCUCUUUCAUUAAAGGAGCUAGCCAACAUUUUUUUUCCACCCUCUUGGUAAUGAUUUCCAGAGAAAAGAUGCCGCGCUCAGGAACAUGAUUCCACCUUUGGAUGGACACAAGCUUGUCACUCAAAAGUAUAGUCUAGGCACAAUUUGAUUUUUUACAGCUUUUUGGCCUUGAAAACAGGAGCCCAAUAAUUAGCCUUACUCAUAUUAGUGUAUAAGCUAGCUUCAAAACCGUAUAAGUGCAACUUUCCCAUGCUUCCUGUUGGAUCCAGUGUGCGUUCCAAGUGCUAUCUGAUAGCAUAUAAACCCAAAUUCACCAUCGAUUCAGCUAUUCCUCAAAAUCAUCGGUGUCAAACUCAAGGCCCAAGGUCCGGAUGCGGCUCGCCACAUCAUUUUACGCGCCCCCGCGGAAGCAAAUCCUGAUCGUCAACUUCCGUGAUUUUUUUUUUGCUAAAAGCUGCACCCAAAUUCCAGAUUGUCAAAAUAAUAAACAAUAAUGUCAUAUACUGCAUUUAAGUGUUACUAAACCCCUUUUCUACUGUUAAUUAGUCUUUAAUACUUUGGACAAACUAUUGUCCUUGUGUUUUGAUUUCAAAACUACUUAGCCCUAAAUGUGUUGGGUACUGCU
Syngnathoides biaculeatus (alligator pipefish) is the source of this 3989-nucleotide long non-coding RNA. RefSeq lists it as uncharacterized. The record is from RefSeq and is a predicted model, not a curated record. Lineage: Eukaryota; Metazoa; Chordata; Actinopteri; Syngnathiformes; Syngnathidae. The transcript is spliced from 4 exons.